CAAUAGCGUAUAUUAAAGUUGUUGCAGUUAAAAAGCUCGUAGUUGAAUUUUUGGUAGGAGGGACCUAUCCUGUUGGUGAAUGCCGAUAGUUUGAUUAGUGUUUCUUUGGCCAGUUUUUUGGUUAGUUGAUAGCCAAUCCUUCACUGUAAACAAAAUAAGGUGUUUCAAGCAAGACGUAAUGUUUGGGAUAUAAUAGUAUGGAAUGAUAAGAUAGGACUGUUGUGCUAGUUUGUUGGUUUGUACAUGAUAGUAAUGAUGAAUAGGGACAAUUGGGGGUACUCGCACUUCUAAGUCAGAGGUGAAAUUCUUGGAUUUUAGAAUGGCGAACAACUGCGAAGGCAUUUACCAAGGAUGUUUUCAUUGA
This 364-nucleotide ribosomal RNA is filed under the name uncultured eukaryote. RNAcentral's name for it is "partial 18S ribosomal RNA". It matches the Rfam family "Eukaryotic small subunit ribosomal RNA", at positions 592 to 976 of the family's 1831-position model. The record is from RNAcentral.